This is a long non-coding RNA of Syngnathus acus (greater pipefish), 327 nucleotides long. RefSeq lists it as uncharacterized. The transcript has 3 exons. The record is from RefSeq and is a predicted model, not a curated record. Lineage: Eukaryota; Metazoa; Chordata; Actinopteri; Syngnathiformes; Syngnathidae.
CUCUUUGCAGUGUUUGUAGAAGGGGAAACACUGCAGCAUCUUCACACCCAUUAUGCAAAACUGCAGAAAAUAAAAGACAACAAGCCGGUGACGACACUCGCAAAUCGACAUGUUACAUCACCAGCCAGGUGACAGCUGAGGCUCGGACUUUCUUUCUCCGGACGCGAACAAUGUCCCGCUCAUCGCAUGUUUCGCAACAUCUUAAGCUAUAAGCACCUUCAAGCAUGAUGAGCUGAAGAGUCUCGAUAAUUUCCAAAAAACACAACAGAGGCUUCUAAAAUCCUCACACUGGAUUUUGCAAAACAAUCCAAAGAACCCACCUGAGUC